Molecule: ribosomal RNA, 457 nt
Filed under: uncultured soil bacterium
Lineage: Bacteria
Description: bacterial SSU rRNA
Rfam family: Bacterial small subunit ribosomal RNA
Source: RNAcentral
AGAGCGAACGCUGGCGGCAGGCUUAACACAUGCAAGUCGAGCGGGCACCUUCGGGUGUCAGCGGCAGACGGGUGAGUAACACGUGGGAACGUGCCCUUUGGUUCGGAACAACUCCGGGAAACUGGAGCUAAUACCGGAUAAGCCCUUCGGGGGAAAGAUUUAUCGCCAAAGGAUCGGCCCGCGUCUGAUUAGCUAGUUGGUGAGGUAACGGCUCACCAAGGCGACGAUCAGUAGCUGGUCUGAGAGGAUGAUCAGCCACACUGGGACUGAGACACGGCCCAGACUCCUACGGGAGGCAGCAGUGGGGAAUAUUGGACAAUGGGCGAAAGCCUGAUCCAGCCAUGCCGCGUGAGUGAUGAAGGCCCUAGGGUUAGUAAAGUCUCGUUUUGUCCGGGAAGAAUAAUGACUGUAACCGGAAGAAUAAGCCCCGGACUAACGUUCGUGCCAGCCAGCCGAC